CGUAAACGAUGAGUGCUAAGUGUUAGAGGGUUUCCGCCCUUUAGUGCUGAAGUUAACGCAUUAAGCACUCCGCCUGGGGAGUACGGCCGCAAGGCUGAAACUCAAAGGAAUUGACGGGGGCCCGCACAAGCGGUGGAGCAUGUGGUUUAAUUCGAAGCAACGCGAAGAACCUUACCAGGUCUUGACAUCCUCUGAAAACCCUAGAGAUAGGGCUUCUCCUUCGGGAGCAGAGUGACAGGUGGUGCAUGGUUGUCGUCAGCUCGUGUCGUGAGAUGUUGGGUUAAGUCCCGCAACGAGCGCAACCCUUGAUCUUAGUUGCCAUCAUUAAGUUGGGCACUCUAAGGUGACUGCCGGUGACAAACCGGAGGAAGGUGGGGAUGACGUCAAAUCAUCAUGCCCCUUAUGACCUGGGCUACACACGUGCUACAAUGGACGGUACAAAGAGCUGCAAGACCGCGAGGUGGAGCUAAUCUCAUAAAACCGUUCUCAGUUCGGAUUGUAGGCUGCAACUCGCCUCAUGAAGCUGGA
Molecule: ribosomal RNA, 528 nt
Filed under: Bacillus thuringiensis
Lineage: Bacteria; Bacillati; Bacillota; Bacilli; Caryophanales; Bacillaceae
Description: bacterial SSU rRNA
Rfam family: Bacterial small subunit ribosomal RNA
Source: RNAcentral